This 300-nucleotide long non-coding RNA is filed under the name Homo sapiens (human). RNAcentral's name for it is "non-protein coding lnc-RNASEH2B-7:1". Lineage: Eukaryota; Metazoa; Chordata; Mammalia; Primates; Hominidae. The record is from RNAcentral.
ACCAUGUAUCUGGUGGUGCCUAAUGCGGGACCAGUUAUGGUAAAUAUGACCCUAAAACCCAUGCUUAUUUGACUCUAUAUUAAACACUGGUAAGAAAAGCAUGGUUCUGUAGGAUCAGCUAUACUUGAGUUAAUAUCUCAGUCCCAUCACUAAUUAAUAGUAUGUCAUAGGGCAAGCUGCUUAACCUUUGAGAUCUUUAGUUUCCUCAUCUAUAAUAACUGAAUUCAAUUCUUUUCUGAAAAACUCUGAGAAAAGGGUCUGGUAAGAUGUCAGUAGUGUUAUAGGUGUCUGAUAAAUAUG